UACGGGGGGGGCAAGCGUUGUUCGGAAUUACUGGGCGUAAAGGGCUCGUAGGUGGCCAACUAAGUCAGACGUGAAAUCCCUCGGCUUAACCGGGGAACUGCGUCUGAUACUGGAUGGCUUGAGUUCGGGAGAGGGAUGCGGAAUUCCAGGUGUAGCGGUGAAAUGCGCAGAUAUCGGGAGGAACACCUAUGGCGAAGGCAGCUCGCUGGGACGUUACUGACGCUGAGACGCGAAAGCGUGGGGAGCAAACAGG
This 253-nucleotide ribosomal RNA is filed under the name uncultured bacterium. RNAcentral describes it as "partial 16S ribosomal RNA". It matches the Rfam family "Bacterial small subunit ribosomal RNA", at positions 524 to 776 of the family's 1533-position model. The record is from RNAcentral.